UACGGAGGGUGCGAGCGUUGUCCGGAAUCAUUGGGCGUAAAGGGCGCGUAGGUGGCCUGCUAAGCGUGCGGUGAAAGUCGGGGGCUCAACCCCCGAUCGGCCGUGCGAACUGGGAGGCUUGAGCACUGUAGAGGCAGGCGGAAUUCCGGGUGUAGCGGUGGAAUGCGUAGAGAUCCGGAAGAACACCGGUGGCGAAGGCGGCCUGCUGGGCAGUUUUGCUGACACUGAGGCGCGACAGCGUGGGGAGCAAACAGGAUUGAGA
Molecule: ribosomal RNA, 262 nt
Filed under: uncultured bacterium
Lineage: Bacteria
Description: partial 16S ribosomal RNA
Rfam family: Bacterial small subunit ribosomal RNA
Source: RNAcentral